ACAGAGGGUGCAAGCGUUAAUCGGAAUUACUGGGCGUAAAGCGUGCGUAGGUGGUUCGUUAAGUCCGUUGUGAAAGCCCCGGGCUCAACCUGGGAACUGCAAUGGAAACUGGCGGGCUUGAAUGCGGCAGAGGGGGGUGGAAUUCCGCGUGUAGCAGUGAAAUGCGUAGAGAUCCGGAGGAACACCAGUGGCGAAGGCGACACGCUGGGCCGUACCUGACACUGAUGCGCGACAGCAUGGGGAACAAACAGGA
This 253-nucleotide ribosomal RNA is filed under the name uncultured prokaryote. RNAcentral's name for it is "partial 16S ribosomal RNA". It matches the Rfam family "Bacterial small subunit ribosomal RNA", at positions 525 to 777 of the family's 1533-position model. The record is from RNAcentral.